This 550-nucleotide ribosomal RNA is filed under the name uncultured bacterium. RNAcentral describes it as "bacterial SSU rRNA". It matches the Rfam family "Bacterial small subunit ribosomal RNA", at positions 355 to 896 of the family's 1533-position model. The record is from RNAcentral.
UAGGGAAUCUUCGGCAAUGGGGGCAACCCUGACCGAGCAACGCCGCGUGAGUGAAGAAGGUUUUCGGAUCGUAAAGCUCUGUUGUAAGUCAAGAACGAGUGUGAGAGUGGAAAGUUCACACUGUGACGGUAGCUUACCAGAAAGGGACGGCUAACUACGUGCCAGCAGCCGCGGUAAUACGUAGGUCCCGAGCGUUGUCCGGAUUUAUUGGGCGUAAAGCGAGCGCAGGCGGUUUGAUAAGUCUGAAGUUAAAGGCUGUGGCUCAACCAUAGUUCGCUUUGGAAACUGUCAAACUUGAGUGCAGAAGGGGAGAGUGGAAUUCCAUGUGUAGCGGUGAAAUGCGUAGAUAUAUGGAGGAACACCGGUGGCGAAAGCGGCUCUCUGGUCUGUAACUGACGCUGAGGCUCGAAAGCGUGGGGAGCGAACAGGAUUAGAUACCCUGGUAAUCCACGCCGUAAACGAUGAGUGCUAGGUGUUGGAUCCUUUCCGGGAUUCAGUGCCGCAGCUAACGCAUUAAGCACUCCGCCUGGGGAGUACGACCGCAAGGUUG